Molecule: long non-coding RNA, 777 nt
Filed under: Rattus norvegicus (Norway rat)
Lineage: Eukaryota; Metazoa; Chordata; Mammalia; Rodentia; Muridae
Description: long non-coding RNA NONRATT006816
Source: RNAcentral
CUUGAUUUAAUUAGCUCAUAAAAUCUGGACUUGCCAAGCUGGUCAACUGAGGCCACUUUUGGGAACCCAGAGGAAGAAGGUAUCUUCUAUAUCUAUUAUAUAGUCUAUCUAUUUAUGGGGAUAAAUAGAUGUUGGUAGAAGUGGAGGUUUCUGGAAUUGUCUGAAAAUAGUUCCUAUUGCCAAACUUUUGUACAUCAAGUGUGUGUACAAGAAAGACCUCAGAAAGUCAGCACUGCUAUAGGACUGUGCACAAGCCAAGUAUCUGAAUAAUUUCUGGUGACUGGGCUUUUUCCCUGUUGAGUUCGAUGACUGUACUCCACUAGGAGAAAGGUCAUGAAGCAUGGUUCCUGCUAGGGCUGACAUUUAACAAGGAGUGAUUGAUUUGAAAGCAGGAUUGAUACUCAGAUUUAGUCUACCGGUGUUUUGCUAAAAUCCCUUUAAAAUGGGACUGUAAGUUCAUCCUCUCUUUUUCUUUCCUCUGAAUAGAUUUUUUUUUAACUAGGCCAAAAACUACCAAUAGCCAGCUCAAGUAAAACACAAGCCAAUUCAUGUCUUCAGUGUCCACCAUCUGAGUAUCUCCUAGUUAGAGGAAUGAUCACAGUUCUUAAAGUAUGAAAACACUAGUUACUGAUCGCUACCUAUCCUGAGCCCUCACUGCUAACACAGGAGCUCCAGAUGAAAUCUAAAUUUGCUAUUUCAAGCCCAUUGCUGUGUUGAUCAUUUGAGAUAAAAAUGACAUAGUUUUGAGUCUUCGGAAACUGCUCCACUUAACUCCCA